AGUGAACGCUGGCGGUAGGCCUAACACAUGCAAGUCGAACGGCAGCACAGUAAGAGCUUGCUCUUACGGGUGGCGAGUGGCGGACGGGUGAGGAAUACAUCGGAAUCUACUUUUUCGUGGGGGAUAACGUAGGGAAACUUACGCUAAUACCGCAUACGACCUACGGGUGAAAGCAGGGGAUCUUCGGACCUUGCGCGAUUGAAUGAGACGAUGUCGGAUUAGCUAGUUGGCGGGGUAAAGGCCCACCAAGGCGACGAUCCGUAGCUGGUCUGAGAGGAUGAUCGGCCACACUGGAACUGAGACACGGUCCAGACUCCUACGGGAGGCAGCAGUGGGGAAUAUUGGACAAUGGGCGCAAGCCUGAUCCAGCCAUACCGCGUGAGUGAAGAAGGCCUUCGGGUUGUAAAGCCCUUUUGUUGGGAAAGAAAAACAGCAGGUUAAUACCCCGCUGUUCUGACGGUACCCAAAGAAUAAGCACCGGCUAACUUCGUG
RNAcentral lists this ribosomal RNA (492 nucleotides) under uncultured bacterium. RNAcentral's name for it is "partial 16S ribosomal RNA". It matches the Rfam family "Bacterial small subunit ribosomal RNA", at positions 29 to 507 of the family's 1533-position model. The record is from RNAcentral.